This 71-nucleotide transfer RNA is filed under the name Verticillium dahliae VdLs.17. Its description in RNAcentral is "tRNA-Arg (TCT) (tRNA-Arg-TCT-4-1)". It matches the Rfam family "tRNA". Rfam says of the family: Transfer RNA (tRNA) molecules are approximately 80 nucleotides in length. Their secondary structure includes four short double-helical elements and three loops (D, anti-codon, and T loops). RNAcentral also lists the same sequence under 1 other name. The record is from RNAcentral. Lineage: Eukaryota; Fungi; Ascomycota; Sordariomycetes; Glomerellales; Plectosphaerellaceae.
AGCCGCAUAGCUCAAUGGUAGAGCGCCUGGUUUCUCCCCAGGAGACGGUGGUUCGAUUCCAUCUGUGGCUA